UGCCUACGGGAGGCAGCAGUGGGGAAUAUUGCACAAUGGGGGAAACCCUGAUGCAGCAACGCCGCGUGAGUGAGGAAGUAUUUCGGUAUGUAAAGCUCUAUCAGCAGGGAAUAGAAAAGAAGGUACCUGAAAAAGAAGCCCCGGCUAACUACGUGCCAGCAGCCGCGGUAAUACGUAGGGAGCGAGCGUUGUCCGGAAUUACUGGGUGUAAAGGGAGCGUAGGCGGGACUGCAAGUUUGG
RNAcentral lists this ribosomal RNA (240 nucleotides) under uncultured bacterium. Its description in RNAcentral is "partial 16S ribosomal RNA". It matches the Rfam family "Bacterial small subunit ribosomal RNA", at positions 335 to 592 of the family's 1533-position model. The record is from RNAcentral.